AAGAGACUUAGACACUAGUAAUAAUAACUGGGCUUAAGCAUUUUGGGCCGUGGUUGGGCCCAACGAGUUAUUGUUACUAAUGGACUCGGUCGUUACAAAUUCACAAUAUGACUUAUCUGAACAUCUAAUCUAUUCAAGAAAACACUUCUUUGCUUCAUCUGCGGCAGCAUGUAGAACUAACAUCAAGCAUAUUCUCAACAUCUAAUCCAUCCAACUGGCAUCAUCUACUUCUCCUCCUCAUUCUCUUUAU
Molecule: long non-coding RNA, 250 nt
Filed under: Ananas comosus (pineapple)
Lineage: Eukaryota; Viridiplantae; Streptophyta; Magnoliopsida; Poales; Bromeliaceae
Description: long non-coding RNA (ACOM_LNC022143)
Source: RNAcentral